Sciurus carolinensis (gray squirrel) is the source of this 101-nucleotide small nucleolar RNA. RefSeq annotates it as small nucleolar RNA U13. The record is from RefSeq and is a predicted model, not a curated record. The transcript has a single exon. NCBI's taxonomy places the organism in Eukaryota, Metazoa, Chordata, Mammalia, Rodentia, Sciuridae.
AUCCUCUUGUGGUUCCUUAGUGUGAAUUGCGUUUUUAUGCCAUUGUGUGAGAUGUGCCUUCCUCAAACCUUGUAAUGGCAUCUGCACAUUACCAAUUGAUG